Molecule: ribosomal RNA, 713 nt
Filed under: Pseudoalteromonas lipolytica
Lineage: Bacteria; Pseudomonadati; Pseudomonadota; Gammaproteobacteria; Alteromonadales; Pseudoalteromonadaceae
Description: bacterial SSU rRNA
Rfam family: Bacterial small subunit ribosomal RNA
Source: RNAcentral
CGGCCCAGACUCCUACGGGAGGCAGCAGUGGGGAAUAUUGCACAAUGGGCGCAAGCCUGAUGCAGCCAUGCCGCGUGUGUGAAGAAGGCCUUCGGGUUGUAAAGCACUUUCAGUAAGGAGGAAAGGUUGGAUGUUAAUAGCAUUCAGCUGUGACGUUACUUACAGAAGAAGCACCGGCUAACUCCGUGCCAGCAGCCGCGGUAAUACGGAGGGUGCGAGCGUUAAUCGGAAUUACUGGGCGUAAAGCGUACGCAGGCGGUUUGUUAAGCGAGAUGUGAAAGCCCCGGGCUCAACCUGGGAACUGCAUUUCGAACUGGCAAACUAGAGUGUGAUAGAGGGUGGUAGAAUUUCAGGUGUAGCGGUGAAAUGCGUAGAGAUCUGAAGGAAUACCGAUGGCGAAGGCAGCCACCUGGGUCAACACUGACGCUCAUGUACGAAAGCGUGGGGAGCAAACAGGAUUAGAUACCCUGGUAGUCCACGCCGUAAACGAUGUCUACUAGAAGCUCGGUUCCUCGGAACUGUUUUUCAAAGCUAACGCAUUAAGUAGACCGCCUGGGGAGUACGGCCGCAAGGUUAAAACUCAAAUGAAUUGACGGGGGCCCGCACAAGCGGUGGAGCAUGUGGUUUAAUUCGAUGCAACGCGAAGAACCUUACCUACACUUGACAUACAGAGAACUUACCAGAGAUGGUUUGGUGCCUUCGGGAACUCUGAU